AGUGAACGCUGGCGGCAGGCCUAACACAUGCAAGUCGAACGAACUCUUCGGAGUUAGUGGCGGACGGGUGAGUAACACGUGGGAACGUGCCUUUAGGUUCGGAAUAACUCAGGGAAACUUGUGCUAAUACCGAAUGUGCCCUUUGGGGGAAAGAUUUAUCGCCUUUAGAGCGGCCCGCGUCUGAUUAGCUAGUUGGUGAGGUAAAGGCUCACCAAGGCGACGAUCAGUAGCUGGUCUGAGAGGAUGAUCAGCCACAUUGGGACUGAGACACGGCCCAAACUCCUACGGGAGGCAGCAGUGGGGAAUCUUGCGCAAUGGGCGAAAGCCUGACGCAGCCAUGCCGCGUGAAUGAUGAAGGUCUUAGGAUUGUAAAAUUCUUUCACCGGGGACGAUAAUGACGGUACCCGGAGAAGAAGCCCCGGCUAACUUCGUG
This 433-nucleotide ribosomal RNA is filed under the name uncultured bacterium. RNAcentral's name for it is "partial 16S ribosomal RNA". It matches the Rfam family "Bacterial small subunit ribosomal RNA", at positions 29 to 507 of the family's 1533-position model. The record is from RNAcentral.